UUGCCGGACGAACACGCGCCAGGGGCUGCGCUGUUCAAAGCAAUCGGCGGCAAGCCGAUCGCGCGCGGCACAAGGCUCCUCGUGUAGGGGCUGUAAGCUCAGUUGGUUAGAGCGCGCGCUGGAUAGGCGUGAGGUCGGAAGUUCAAGUCUUCNCAGGCCCACCACUUUCAUCGAGCGAGAGCAUUCGUCCUUUGGUUACGGGGCCAUAGCUCAGCUGGGAGAGCGCGUGCUUUGCAAGCAUGAGGUCGUCGGUUCGAUCCCGUNUGGCUCCACCACCCUGCGCACUCAAGUGUGCCACGGCGAGGCAAGNCAGGUUAUGAGCACUCGGAGCGUCCGUGAGACAAGAUUUGGCCCGGUCGCCGUUACGACGGCAGCGCGGCCCUGUUGUUCUGACAUCGUGAAGAGAAGGUUUGUUCGAGCGCCGCCCCUUGGGGCAGCGCGUCUCACACCGAUUCGUGGACUUAACCGCCUGCGAUCGAGCAAAUCUCGAAGAAACUGGUCUUUUGUCUCUCCUGUCGAAUUCGUCUGGCUCUCCUACGGCCAUGACGGGCAUCGACAAUGAGAGUGAUCAAGUGAAAUAAGGGCGUUCGGUGGAUGCCUUGGCGCUGAGAGGCGAUGAAGGACGUGGUACGCUGCGAUAAGUCACGGGGAGCUGCGAACAAGCUUUGAUCCGUGAAUUUCCGAAUGGGGAAACCCGGA
This 699-nucleotide unclassified non-coding RNA is filed under the name uncultured Bradyrhizobium sp. RNAcentral's name for it is "partial 16S-23S ribosomal RNA intergenic spacer". The stretch from base 567 to 699 matches the Rfam family "Bacterial large subunit ribosomal RNA", at positions 1 to 132 of the family's 2925-position model. The record is from RNAcentral. Lineage: Bacteria; Pseudomonadati; Pseudomonadota; Alphaproteobacteria; Hyphomicrobiales; Nitrobacteraceae.